GCAUCUCUUCCACGUUUGAGGGCAGGAUGUCCAAGCACUUGAGCCAUCCAAGGCUGCUCUCCCAGGUACUAAAUCUGAAGUCACACGGGACUAUGGUACACAAGGAGCUGGAGCAGUUAUGCUAGCACAUCAAAGCAUAUUUCUUUUAAUAAAAAAUUGACAGUAUGUACAUUA
Molecule: long non-coding RNA, 174 nt
Organism: Ochotona princeps (American pika)
Lineage: Eukaryota; Metazoa; Chordata; Mammalia; Lagomorpha; Ochotonidae
Exons: 2
Source: RefSeq, a predicted model, not a curated record